Molecule: ribosomal RNA, 340 nt
Filed under: uncultured bacterium
Lineage: Bacteria
Description: bacterial SSU rRNA
Rfam family: Bacterial small subunit ribosomal RNA
Source: RNAcentral
AACGAACGCUGGCGGCGUGGAUAAGACAUGCAAGUCGAACGGGAUUACUUCGAGUAGCAAUACCUGAAGUAAUUUAGUGGCGAACGGGUGCGUAACACGUGGGGAAUCUGCCGAGAAGUGGGGGAUAGCUCGUCGAAAGGCGAAUUAAUACCGCAUAUGAUCAGGGAAGACAUCUUUCCAACAUCAAAGCCGGGGCAACCUGGCGCUUCUUGAUGACCCCGCGGCCUAUCAGCUAGUUGGUGAGGUAACGGCCCACCAAGGCGGUGACGGGUANCUGGUCUGAGAGGACGACCAGUCACACUGGAACUGAGACACGGUCCAGACACCUACGGGUGGCAGC